This 407-nucleotide ribosomal RNA is filed under the name uncultured bacterium. RNAcentral describes it as "partial 16S ribosomal RNA". It matches the Rfam family "Bacterial small subunit ribosomal RNA", at positions 28 to 526 of the family's 1533-position model. The record is from RNAcentral.
GACGAACGCUGGCGGCGUGCCUAAUACAUGCAAGUAGAACGCAGUUGCGAACGGGUGAGUAACGCGUAGGUAACUGCCUCAUAGCGGGGGAUAACUAUUGGAAACGAUAGCUAAUACCGCAUACUGUGCGAUGGACCUGCGUUGUAUUUGGUAGGUGGUGAGGUAAAGGCUCACCAAGGCGACGAUACAUAGCCGACCUGAGAGGGUGCACGGCCACACUGGGACUGAGACACGGCCCAGACUCCUACGGGAGGCAGCAGUAGGGAAUCUUCGGCAAUGGACGGAAGUCUGACCGAGCAACGCGGCGUGAGUGAAGAAGGUUUUCGGAUCGUAAAGCUCUGUUGUUAGAGAAGCGGGAAGUAAAGAGAAAGGGACGGCUAACUACGUGCCAGCAGACGCGGUAAGAG